GUUUGAGAAGCAAAUUACUGUUCUGGUCAUUAUUAGAGUUUACUUUCUAACUCUGUGAUCUCCACAUAAACUUAUGUGAUGUGCCAACCAUCUAUAGAAAAGUAAAUGAUCUAAACUUCUUAGUU
Molecule: long non-coding RNA, 125 nt
Organism: Etheostoma cragini (Arkansas darter)
Lineage: Eukaryota; Metazoa; Chordata; Actinopteri; Perciformes; Percidae
Exons: 3
Source: RefSeq, a predicted model, not a curated record